GAUGAACGCUGGCGGCGUGCCUAAUACAUGCAAGUCGAGCGAACAGACGAGGAGCUUGCUCCUCUGACGUUAGCGGCGGACGGGUGAGUAACACGUGGAUAACCUAUCUUUAAGACUGGGAUAACUUCGGGAAACCGGAUCUAAUACCGGAUAAUCUAUUGAACCGCAUUGUUCAAUAGUAAAAGGCGGCUUUUCUGUUACUUAUUGAUCGAUCCUCGACGCAUUAGCUAGUUGGUAUGGUAACGGCUUACCAAGGCAAUGAUGCGUAGCCGACCUAAGAGGGGGAUGGGCAACACGGGAACUGAGAAACGGUCAAGACUCCUACGGGAGGCAGAAGUAGGGAAUCUUCCGAAAGGGGCGAAAGCCUGACGGAGAAACGCGGCGUGAGUGAGGAAGGUCUUCGGAUCGUAAAACUCUGUUAAAAGGGAAGAACAAAUGGGUAAGUAAAAAUGCACGUCGUGACGGUACCUAAUCAGAAAGCCACGGCUAACUACGUG
Molecule: ribosomal RNA, 497 nt
Filed under: uncultured bacterium
Lineage: Bacteria
Description: partial 16S ribosomal RNA
Rfam family: Bacterial small subunit ribosomal RNA
Source: RNAcentral